RNAcentral lists this transfer RNA (63 nucleotides) under Laeocathaica amdoana. Its description in RNAcentral is "tRNA-His". The record is from RNAcentral. Lineage: Eukaryota; Metazoa; Mollusca; Gastropoda; Stylommatophora; Camaenidae.
GUUAUAUAUAAGAUAAGUUAAUCUGUGGGCUUGUGGGGCCCUAAAUACCGUAGGUUUGUAACA